UACGUAGGGUGCAAGCGUUGUCCGGAAUUAUUGGGCGUAAAGAGCUCGUAGGCGGUUUGUCGCGUCUGCUGUGAAAACUCGGGGCUCAACUCCGAGCUUGCAGUGGGUACGGGCAGACUAGAGUGCGGUAGGGGAGACUGGAAUUCCUGGUGUAGCGGUGGAAUGCGCAGAUAUCAGGAGGAACACCGGUGGCGAAGGCGGGUCGCGGGGCCGUAACUGACGCUGAGGAGCGAAAGCACGGGGAGCGAACAGG
RNAcentral lists this ribosomal RNA (253 nucleotides) under uncultured bacterium. RNAcentral's name for it is "partial 16S ribosomal RNA". It matches the Rfam family "Bacterial small subunit ribosomal RNA", at positions 524 to 776 of the family's 1533-position model. The record is from RNAcentral.